CCUACGGGAGGCAGCAGUGGGGAAUAUUGCACAAUGGGCGAAAGCCUGAUGCAGCAACGCCGCGUGAGGGAAGAAGGCUUUCGGAUUGUAAACCUCUGUCCUCAGGGACGAAAGAAAUGACGGUACCUGAGGAGGAAGCCCCGGCUAACUACGUGCCAGCAGCCGCGGUAAU
RNAcentral lists this ribosomal RNA (172 nucleotides) under uncultured Clostridium sp. RNAcentral's name for it is "partial 16S ribosomal RNA". It matches the Rfam family "Bacterial small subunit ribosomal RNA", at positions 338 to 524 of the family's 1533-position model. Lineage: Bacteria; Bacillati; Bacillota; Clostridia; Eubacteriales; Clostridiaceae. The record is from RNAcentral.